UCGACAUUCGACUCGGCUCCUUUGAUAACGUGAGGACGAUAACGUCUGAGAAGUGUAUAGCAGUUUAAUGUCAUCAGCCCGGAGGUAUGGAGUUCGACGCUCUUUUCCGAUAAAUCAGUCGGCGCGCGAUUUCGAAUCGGCCAUAAUGAUACGACUAAUCAUCAAAGAAUUUCGCAAUUCUUGCGAAAAAUCAUGAAGGCAAAUAUCAUAUUUUAUAAGAAGAUUUUAUGGCGUUACGAUAGUGAAUUUGAGAAAUAUUCGAAAAUUUAACGAUCUAUCGUUCUAUUUAUAUCUAACGAUCUAUCCUUCAUCAUUCGAAAUGCGAACUUUGUAUCGUUCCCUGUACUUGGAAAAUUGGAACAGGGAGCGGAUACGCGAACAGGAAGUGGUCGGUACCACCGCGCCUCGCUGCCGGCAAUUACACGGACCCACACGGCCGUCUCUAUCAACUCGGCUUCGCGCAACCGUAUUCUCUCUCUUUCUCUCUCUCUCUAUCUCGCUCUCUCUCUCUCUCUCUCUUGCGAGUAAGCGAGCGAAUGAACGAGCGCGCGCGUAUUCUCACUUCGUAUGGGUGUGAGUAAACCUUCUCUCAGUAAUGCGUAUGGUGGCCACAUACUCGGACACAUGGACGAGACCGGAUGAAAAAAAACCAACGAUUUUUUUUCUCUCUUUCUUUCUUUCCCGGCCCAACCAACCAACGGUGGUCGGCUCACCUUGAUAAUGCGAGAUAUCACGCGAAUACACGAAUACAUGCAUAACAUGUCUUUCGAUUGUGUAUAUACGUGAGAGAGAGAGAGAGAGAGAGAGAGAGAGAGAAAAGAAAGAAACAGAAAGAGAGAAAGAAAUGAAUAUAUAUCUGGGAGAGUGGACAGUGUCGAUUCGAUCUCGACUUGUUUUUAUA
Vespa velutina is the source of this 901-nucleotide long non-coding RNA. RefSeq lists it as uncharacterized. Lineage: Eukaryota; Metazoa; Arthropoda; Insecta; Hymenoptera; Vespidae. The transcript has 3 exons. The record is from RefSeq and is a predicted model, not a curated record.